RNAcentral lists this ribosomal RNA (1314 nucleotides) under uncultured bacterium. RNAcentral describes it as "16S ribosomal RNA". It matches the Rfam family "Bacterial small subunit ribosomal RNA", at positions 33 to 1394 of the family's 1533-position model. The record is from RNAcentral.
ACGCUGGCGGCACGCCUAACACAUGCAAGUCGAACGAAGUAGCAAUACUUAGUGGCAGACGGGUGAGUAACAUGUAGGUAUCUGCCCUUUGGCCUGGAAUAACACGAGGAAACUUGUGCUAAUACCGGAUAAGUCUUUACGGAGAAAGCUUUAUGCACCAUUGGAUGAGCCUGCACUUGAUUAGUUUGUUGGUAGGGUAAUGGCCUACCAAGACUAUGAUCAAUAGCUGAUUUGAGAGGAUGAUCAGCCACAUUGGGACUGAGACACGGCCCAAACUCCUACGGGAGGCAGCAGUGGGGAAUCUUGCACAAUGGAGGAAACUCUGAUGCAGCGAUGCCGCGUGAGUGAAGAAGGCCCUUGGGUUGUAAAGCUCUUUCGUCGGGGAAGAAAGUGACUGUACCCGAAUAAGAAGGUCCGGCUAACUUCGUGCCAGCAGCCGCGGUAAUACGAAGGGACCUAGCGUAGUUCGGAAUUACUGGGCUUAAAGAGUUCGUAGGUGGUUGAAAAAGUUGGUGGUGAAAUCCCAGAGCUUAACUCUGGAACUGCCAUCAAAACUUUUCAGCUAGAGUUUGAUAGAGGAAAGCAGAAUUUCUAGUGUAGAGGUGAAAUUCGUAGAUAUUAGAAAGAAUAUCAAUUGUGAAGGCAGCUUUCUGGAUCAUUACUGACACUGAGGAACGAAAGCAUGGGUAGCGAAGAGGAUUAGAUACCCUCGUAGUCCAUGCCGUAAACGAUGUGUGUUAGACGUUGGAAAUUUAUUUUCAGUGUCGCAGCAAAAGCGAUAAACACACCGCCUGGGGAGUACGACCGCAAGGUUAAAACUCAAAUGAAUUGACGGGGACCCGCACAAGUAGUGGAGCAUGUGGUUUAAUUCGAAGAUACGCGCAGAACCUUACCAACACUUGACAUGUUCGUCGCGACUCUAAGAGAUUAGAGUUUUCGGUUCGGCCGGACGAAACACAGGUGCUGCAUGGCUGUCGUCAGCUCGUGUCGUGAGAUGUUGGGUUAAGUCCCGCAACGAGCGCAACCCUCACUUUUAGUUGCCAUCAUUAAGUUGGGCACUCUGAAAGAACUGCCAGUGAUAAGCUGGAGGAAGGUGGGGAUGACGUCAAGUCCUCAUGGCCCUUACGUGUUGGGCUACACACGUGCUACAAUGGUAUCUACAACAGGAAGCAAGACGGCGACGUCAAGCAAAUCCUUAAAAGAUACCUCAGUUCGGAUUGCACUCUGCAACUCGAGUGCAUGAAGCUGGAAUUACUAGUAAUCGUGGAUCAGCGUGCCACGGUGAAUGCGUUCCCGGGUCUUGCACACACCGCC